Molecule: ribosomal RNA, 2187 nt
Filed under: Schistocephalus solidus
Lineage: Eukaryota; Metazoa; Platyhelminthes; Cestoda; Diphyllobothriidea; Diphyllobothriidae
Description: SSU rRNA
Rfam family: Eukaryotic small subunit ribosomal RNA
Source: RNAcentral
CCUGGUUGAUCCUGCCAGUAGUCAUAUGCUUGUCUCAAAGAUUAAGCCAUGCAUGUCUAAGUGCACGCCUUCAUACGGUGAAACCGCGAAUGGCUCAUUAAAUCAGCUAUGGUUUAUUGGAUCAUACCCGUUAAAUGGAUAACUGUAAUAACUCUAGAGCUAAUACAUGCCCCGAAGCCCUGACCCGCGAGGGAAUGGGUGCACUUAUUAGAUCAGAAGCCAACCAGGUAGUGUUCUUCUGCCUUCGGGUGGGAGCUCCGCUGCCUGUCGUCCUUCUGGUGACUCUGGAUAAUUGUUACAGAUCGCAGUCGGCCUUGCGUCGGCGACGGGUCCUUCAAAUGUCUGCCCUAUCAACUUUCGAUGGUAGGUGACCUGCCUACCAUGGUGAUAACGGGUAACGGGGAAUCAGGGUUCGAUUCCGGAGAGGGAGCCUGAGAAACGGCUACCACUUCCAAGGGAGGCAGCAGGCGCGCAAAUUACCCACUCCCAGUACGGGGAGGUGGUGACGAAAAAUACCGAUGCGGGACUCUUAUUGAGGCUCCGUAAUCGGAAUGAGUGAACUCUAAAUCCUUUCACGAGGAUCAAUUGGAGGGCAAGUCUGGUGCCAGCAGCCGCGGUAACUCCAGCUCCAAUAGCGUAUAUUAAAGUUGCUGCAGUUAAAAAGCUCGUAGUUGGAUCUCGGUAUCACUGUCGCCUGCCAGUCCUCGGCUGAUUGUGUCGGUGUAGGUGGGACCUUGCUUCGCUCGGUGCCCCUUGCCCAGGCAUGGUCAUGCUCGAGUUGGCGUGGCGGUGGUGUCACCUUUCAGCCAUGUCUGUGGUGAAAUACCCGCAGGUGUAGGCGAGUGUCAGGCGGUGCUCUGCGACAGUAGGGUCCGUCGGCUCGUCUGCAUGCCUUUGGAUGCCCUUCAAAAGGUGUCUAUGGGCGGAUGGCACGUUUACUUUGAACAAAUUUGAGUGCUCAAACCAGGCCGAUGUCGCCUGAAAAGUUUUGCAUGGAAUAAUGGAAUAGGACUUCGGUUCUAUUUCGUUGGUUUUCGGAUCCGAAGUAAUGAUCAAAAGAGACAGGCGGGGACGUUUGUAUGGUUGCGCUAGAGGUGAAAUUCAUGGACCGUAACCAGACAAACUAAAGCGAAAGCAUUCGUCAAGCAUGUUUUCAUUGGCCAUGAGCGAAAGUCAGAGGCUCGAAGACGAUCAGAUACCGUCCUAGUUCUGACCAUAAACGAUGCCAACUGACGAUCCGUGGUGGUAGUAUUUUAACCAUCCCCACGGGCAGUCCCCGGGAAACCUUUAAGUCUUUGGGUUCCGGGGGAAGUAUGGUUGCAAAGCUGAAACUUAAAGGAAUUGACGGAAGGGCACCACCAGGAGUGGAGCCUGCGGCUUAAUUUGACUCAACACGGGAAAACUCACCCGGCCCGGACACUGUGAGGAUUGACAGAUUGAUAGCUCUUUCUUGAUUUGGUGGUUGGUGGUGCAUGGCCGUUCUUAGUUGGUGGAGCGAUUUGUCUGGUUAAUUCCGAUAACGAACGAGACUCUAGCCUGCUAAUUAGUACGCCUGUCCUCUGUUCCUGUGCUGGCGGCGUUUUGGCGAAACUGCUCACUUCAGCUGACUACUGUCGGGCCGCGCAUUUCUCUGCGCGCGUGUGCUGCGAGCCCUUCCCGGGGCGAGUGGUGCGCGCACGUGUGGUGGCGUGGACUGCGGUAGGAGGUGUGAGCGGUGGGUUCAGCGCUAGCCUCCGGGUACGGCGCAGGUGUGUCUACUUCUUAGAGGGACAAGCAUUACGAAUGUGCACGAAAUUGAGCAAUAACAGGUCUGUGAUGCCCUUAGAUGUCCGGGGCCGCACGCGCGCUACAAUGACGGUGCCAACGAGUCUGACCUUCUGGCCCGAAAGGGUUGGGCAAACUGGUCAAUCACCGUCAUGACAGGGAUCGGGGCUUGGAAUUGUUCCCCGUGAACGAGGAAUUCCUAGUAAGUGCAAGUCAUAAGCUUGCGCUGAUUACGUCCCUGCCCUUUGUACACACCGCCCGUCGCUACUACCGAUUGAAUGGUUUAGUAAGGUCCUCGGAUUGGCGCCAUUGCAGUGCCAGCCGCAAGGUUGGUGCUCGACAGGUGCCGAGAAGACGACCAAACUUGAUCAUUUAGAGGAAGUAAAAGUCGUAACAAGGUUUCCGUAGGUGAACCUGCGGAAG